Molecule: ribosomal RNA, 481 nt
Filed under: uncultured bacterium
Lineage: Bacteria
Description: partial 16S ribosomal RNA
Rfam family: Bacterial small subunit ribosomal RNA
Source: RNAcentral
GAUGAACGCUGGCGGCGUGCUUAACACAUGCAAGUCGAACGAAGCACUUUAUUUGAUUUCCUUCGGGACUGAUUAUUUUGUGACUGAGUGGCGGACGGGUGAGUAACGCGUGGGUAACCUGCCUUGUACAGGGGGAUAACAGCUGGAAACGGCUGCUAAUACCGCAUAAGCGCACGGCAUCGCAUGAUGCAGUGUGAAAAACUCCGGUGGUAUAAGAUGGACCCGCGUUGGAUUAGCUAGUUGGUGAGGUAACGGCCCACCAAGGCGACGAUCCAUAGCCGACCUGAGAGGGUGACCGGCCACAUUGGGACUGAGACACGGCCCAAACUCCUACGGGAGGCAGCAGUGGGGAAUAUUGCACAAUGGGCGAAAGCCUGAUGCAGCGACGCCGCGUGAGCGAAGAAGUAUUUCGGUAUGUAAAGCUCUAUCAGCAGGGAAGAUAAUGACGGUACCUGACUAAGAAGCACCGGCUAAAUACGUG